AAAAAGACAUGGCAGAGAAAACAUAUGCAUUCAUGUGCGUUCAACUACUUUUAUUUUUAUAUGAUUUAUUAUUUUAUUUCAAAAAAAUCCUUUUUUCUCCAAACUUAUAAAAGUAAUAUAUUAUUUCUUUCCAUGUCCAAGUAGAUUCCCUAGUGUUUGAUUACUGCUACAGCCGAAGGAAAAUAAAUACAAUGUGUGUCAUUAAAGUAAUUCAGUGCAAAUUGGGCAUAACACAAAAUUACAUUAUUAACAGCUGUUAAAUGACUAUAAAAUGUAAUUAGACACACUCAAUUCACUACUCAUGAACUGGACCUGAUUUCUAAAAUAUCAAUUUGGAUCUUUGAUUAUUCCUGACAAAAGAGAACAUACUUAGAUUCUAGGUUUAAAUUCCUGGUAAUGGAUGUAUCCCCCCAAGACCUUCACUGGGAUUCCCAAUAGGAGGAGGAGGAAACAGUUUUUAAGCACAGAAGGAGGGGGAUUGUGAGUUAUCAUAGGGGUGCCGGCCGGGUUCCCACUGAAUCCCUGCCAGCUGCACUGAGGCAUGAGUUCCCUGGUUAAAUUUUAACUCUCUGCUUACAAAGAGCCAACAAAGCUCAGCACAGAUACUUCUACUAUAGAUGUUUAUGACUGCGGCUCUUCUUGGCUUUCUCACUUUUUUGGCUGCCUUUUCAACCCAUUCAGUUAACCUGCUUAAUUUAAAAAAUAAAAUAAAAUAAAAAUAAAGUAAAAUAAAAUAAAGCCAGCAAAUAUAUAUGGACAUAUUCAUAUCUGCUCUGCACUCCUCUAAGGCAGAAGGGAAGCGGGAUGGCAUGAUGUCCAAUAAGUGCUUUGGGAUCUGCCAGGGGAACAUAACUGGGUCUCACUCAAAACCCCAUGGAGUUCCCUGGUGGCUCAGCUGGUUAGGGAUCCAGCAUUGUUGCUGUGGUGGUGUGUUCAACCCCUGGCCCAGGAACUACUGCAUGUCGGAGGCGCGACCAAAAAAUAAAUAGAUAAAAAAUAAACAUUAAAAACAAACAAAACCUCCUUCCUCUAGUCAUCCUGGCCCUGAGCUAUCUUCUCAGUCUGAGUUCUGGCUUCUCUUUUACCCAAACGCUCCUCGGCUAGGUUACUCUCCUCUUUUCACAGCGCACUCUUUCUUUCCAGGUACAGUUCCAAAUGCAUCCGCCCUGCCUCCCUGGAGCUUUGACUACAGCCCCAACCGGAGGUCUGCUUUUCCUCCUCAAAUUCCUUGUAACCCUCAGUCUGGGGCUUCUUUUAUGAUAAUCUCUGCACUGCGUUUUCAGAUGAGAGGUUGGUACGGUUCAGAGCAUGGACUCUGGAGCCAGGCAAAACUGGGUUUCAAUCCUGGUGCUUCCAGUUGUUGGUGGUGUAAUUAUGGGAAAGUUGCAUCCCUUCUCUCAGCAUUUAUAAAAUGGGCACGGUAAUGGUACAGUUUCCUUAUCCCAAAAUCCUGAGGCCAUGAAAGGUUUGGAAUUCAAAAAUUUGGAGAUUUAAAAAAGUAUAGUGCAGGGAGUUCCCUGGUGGCCUAGUGGUUAAGGACUCAGCAUUGUCAUUUGCUGUAGCUCAGGCUAUUGCUAUGGCUCAGGUUUGAUUCCCGGCCUGGAAAUUUCUGCUUGCCACAGGCAAAGCAAAAAAAAAAGGGGGGGGGAAUAAUGCACAUUUUGUAUCUUACAAAACAAACCCUUCGACACAGGUACUGGGAUAGGGCUUAAAAGCAAACAAAUGAGUAAUUACGCAAAGUGGGAUAAAAUGACGAAUAGCCUCAUGUCCGUUCAUGAAAAAGUUCAGGUCAGCUUUUGCCAAAUUGGUUAUGAAAAAAAAUUGUAUGAAUCAAGUCCAGGUUUUCACAGUUUUGUAGUUUAGAUCUGAGGAUAAAGGAUUGUGGAUGCAUGAGGAUUAAAUGAAAUACGUAUAAGGCUUAACAUGGCGGCAACGCACACGAAAUGCUUAAAUGAAGUAAGCUAUCAUUAUCACGACAUUGGUCUACUUGACUUCAGCCCCUUACUGGCAGCGAGGUCGUGGAGAGGCAGGGGUUUGUGUCUUCCGUGUCCAGCCCCUCGCACUGCACUGCACAUUGUAGGAGCUUAAUCAACGCCAUCUGACUCAAUCGAAGACAUCAUCUCAUUGCUUAAAUAAAUUUCCAGUCACAGACAUGUAUAAGCUUAUAAAUAGCUGAAUAAUCUAAAGGCUAGACCUGAAUUCCUCCAAAUAAAGUUUACAGUCUGGGUCACCAAGAGGCAAAAGAGAUCAAAAUGAAGCCACGGGGAUUUUUCUACAGGAAAGAUGGCAUCAUUUGUCGUGACCAUCAAAAAACCUGACCAGCUUUCAGACAGAGUGGGAAAAGAAGGCUGUUGGGGCGAAGAGCACGAGCCCCAGCCUGGCAGGAGUGACAGCCAGGGCAGGAGAGAGGCGUCUGACCCGGGGGUCAUGUGAAGCCGGAGUGGGAGCUGAGGGACAGCGGCUGACUCCUGGGUGGGAUGAGCGCUUUGGUGGCACGAGUUGGUGGUCUGAGGGCAGUCACCCUCCAACCGCAGCCGGCACAAUCCGGCCUAAUUGGCCUUUGUCGGCAGCCUCAAUGCAGGCCCCAAUCUGAAUAGGCCUCCUUCUCUCAGGCUGACACCCCUAAGAGGAUUCAGCACUUGUGAGUAAUUUGACCAAGCCUAACUUGAAGCAAUAAAACCUUUAGAGCCCUUCCAAGAUCUUCUUUCUACAAGGAAGAAAGAUCCUGCAGGCAGGUUAGAGGAGCUUGUCUUCCCUCCCCGGGGUUGGGGGGGUGUUCAGUGGUUCAUAUUUGGGAUAUUCAUACAGAUGAAGGAAGACGAGCUCACUAAGGAGAAAAAUGAGCUGUCUGCUAAAUUGGCUGAGAUAUGGUUUAUUGAAUGGCAGGUCACUUUGCUUGGAUGAUCAGCCAUUUGUCAUACGUGACCAGAGGCCCCUGGGAAUCAGGGCCUGGGAAUGUGAAAGGAAUCAAUGGGAGCUCUAGCCCAAGGGAAACUUUUUCCAGCAAGAAUUCAUUCAUUAACUCCUCUAAGGUCUGCUUUUGUCUUCUCACCUCAUGUCCACUCCUCAGUUCAAGAUGGCCCCAGAGUGUGAACUAGUCCUAGGAACAGGUCACAGGGCCUACCAAGAACUAGCCAGUAUAGGGGCUUUGCUCCUGAAACCCUCCCACACAGGUAGUCAUAUUCAAAGAAGCCCUAUAAGUGCAUGAGGUGGGUUGGAUUCAUUCUGAAAUGACGAAUUACAGCUCUGCCUGGAAAGUCAUGAGCCUCGAUGCUGCUGUUGUACUUUCAGCCAAUGUAUAUGGAUUCGGCCAACCCACAGGGUUCCAGCCACUUAUCUCAGGGAUGCUGCCACUGUCAAAACCAUUCUCGAACCCCCUUCUAGGGAACUAUCUCCAGAGUUUGCACCAUUUUCUGAAGAAUCUCUACAAUGGUGACAAACCUGCAUAUUUGGAAUUUGAUUAGUAGAUAGAAGCCGUACCUUAACCAAUGACGAAAAUUAAGGAGGUGGCCCAGGAAAUUCCAUUUAAAAAUAGAAUAAUGAAGCAGGAAAUAAUGCCUUUCUUUGGGGGCUAACCCUGAAGGAAAAAGAAUGAACUUUUACUGAGCUCCCGCCAUGUGUCAAGUUUAAAAUAACCACCUUGAGGCAAGUAGCAUAACUUUUAUACAGAAAACGAGACUCAGAGAACUCAAGUAACUUCUGAAAGGUCACAAAGCUCAUCAGUGGGAAAUGUGAGAUUGAUGGCUAUUUCUUCUAUUCAUCUGUAAAGCUAGUGGGUCUCUUUUUGCUACAGCAUACUGCUUGCUUGUUUGCUUGCUCGCUUGCUUUUUCUCUUUUCUUUAGGGUGGCACCUAUGGCCUAUGGAAGUUCCCAGGCUAGGGGGCAAAUCAGAGCUGCAGCCUCCGGCCUAUGCCACAGCCACAGCAACGCCAGAUCCAAGCCGUGUCUUCGACUUACACCACAGCUCACGGCAACGCCAGAUCCUUAGCACGCUGAGUGAGGCCAGGGAACAAACCUGCAUCCUCAUGGAUCCUCGUCGGGUUUGGUAACCACUGAGCCACAACAGGAACUUCUGCUUUCAUUGAAAAUCAUUAAAAUAGAGAGAAAAGGAGUGGUGCCUCCAACUUUGAUACAUGGACAAAAUGUCUUUAUCAUUUUCACACCCUGAGAAUCAUUUGAUACAUGUUAUAAUUCUGAUGGAAAUUACUUAUUUUCCCAAAUGAAUUUGUAUUUUAACUUCCAAGUACAACUCACAGUGGUCGUGGUCCCCAGAGAGUUUACAUUCUAGUGGGGAAGGCAGACCUACUACCCCCAUGCUUCACCAAAAGCAAGUGCAUAGAUGAAAAAGGAAGUAGACAGAUAACUAUAAGUUGUAAUAAGACCUAUGAAUAAAAAGGUAAGAGGCUGAGAUACAGAACAAAGGCGCCUCCUCUAGGCUUCUCUAAGGCUGACAGGCUGACAGGACAGACACAUGAACUGUGAAAACAAAGAUUACUCCAGACAAAGUGAAUAGCACAUGCAAAGGCCCUGAGGCUGGAAAGAGCUUGGUAUAUGCAACGGACAGGGAAAAGGCCAAUGUUGGGAGAAUAUGGUAAAUAAGGGGAACCAGGGGCACAAGAUGAGGUGGAAGGGAAGGUUGGAAGCAGAUUGCGUAGCGUUUUCUAAAGUGUGGUAAAGACUUUGAAUUGUAUUCUAGAUGAAGCAGGGAGCCAUCGGAGGGUUUGGGGCAGAGGAUGACAUGAUAUGAUAUUCACUGAAGAGAGACUGCUGGUUGAAGUUGUGGAGAUUGGAUGGGAGGGAAGCAAGAGCAGAAGUGGGAAGCCCUUUGCUGUAUGUAGGUAUAAGGGAGAGUCAUGAUUGUGACUUGGGCUGGACUCAUCACAGUAGAUGCAGAGAAAGGAGGAUGGAUUUGGGGAUAUAUUUUGAGAUAGAAGCAAUGGACUUCCUAAUGAAAUGGCUGCGGGCCUAAGGGGAAAGAAGCUUGAAUGACUUGGCGAAUGGCAGUGCCAUUCACUGAGCCAGUGAAGACUUGGCCAAGGAACACUCUGCUGGGGGGAAAUGAACAGUUCAGUCUUAGACUUGCUGUGUUUGAAAAGUCUUCUAAAUAUCUACAGGGAAAUGCCAGUUAGGCAGGGGGAGGUGUGAAUCUAGCCUAAAAAUAUAAAUUUGGGGAAAGGUAGCAUAUAUCCUUGUCUACAAUCAUGGGACUUGAUGGAUCACGUAGGCAGAGUGUGUACACAGUAACAAAAAGAUGGAAACACGACCAAACCCCCAGGUUUUCCACCCUGAAGAGGCUGAACAGAGGAGAGGGAGUCAGCAAAGGAGACCAGAGUCACGCAGAAGGGGGAGGAGAGAGCAUUGAUGUCUGACCCAGGGCGCUCGCAUAAGGGGGGCUGGGACAAGCACCACCAUUACAGCAGACGGACCCUGGCCUCAGAUUACUGUUCCCGGGGGUCAGCCCCUCUGCCGAAUAACCUGAGAGGCUCUCUGCGCUGUUAGUACUCUUUCCUGGCACCCUGAGCCCCAGCGAGCCAGGACAGGAAGCUGCCUUUGCUGCCCACAGGCAAUGCUGCUAACUGCAGCCAAAGCCACGGCUUGGGGACUUGGGGCCAAGCAAAACUCAGCACCCGCAGGUAACACAGAAAGUGAGGAUUCAAAAAACCCACAAGGACUUGCCCUCUGACAUCCUGAAGAAUCCAUCACGUAAACAAAUAAACUGUGUAACCGUCACUUAAUGUCUGUCUCACGUACUGAACAUGUCCCCCCACCAGAAGCAGCGACUGUGUCCCGACUCGCUGCCCACGUUAUCCCCUGUGCCCAGCAUCGUGCCUGCGCACGUGGAUGAGGUGACCUAUGAGCCAACCGUCGCAGCCGUGGCGGCUUGGUGUUGAGAGCUAGAGGCCAAGGCUACAAAGUUCCUAGCUCCCCAGAGACCACGACUAUUAGGGGUCUCUAGGUGGGCACCAGCCCCAGCAGCUCUCUAUGCAGU
Molecule: long non-coding RNA, 5989 nt
Filed under: Sus scrofa (pig)
Lineage: Eukaryota; Metazoa; Chordata; Mammalia; Artiodactyla; Suidae
Description: lncRNA (ENSSSCG00000061395.1)
Source: RNAcentral